GGUACCAUCUAAUCCUGAGUGAGUGCCUUUUACCAUAGGAAGGUAGAGAUAAUCACCAGUGGUCAGGAAAUAGGACCACCACAGGCUAUGCUGUCUUUAUUGAUAUAGAACAAUUUAUCUUUGAUGCUGCAGCCAAACAUCUGAUUGGAUGCAUUUUUGAUGAGGCAGUUCUCUAGUCUUAUAUAAAGCACUGGUCUUUCAUGAUAGUAAAUGACAAAAGUUUCUCUUUUGAGGAAGUAUCUAAAGUGGUUAUAACAAAGACAAAAAAAAAUUGCAGAAGCCCAUUUGCAUGGGAGGAUCAUUGUCAACACUGUCAAUACAGUACUUGCUAAAUUUAACUACUCCAACCAUCAGGCCUCCAAAUAGCCUAGAACCAUUGAUGGUCUCAAUAUAAGAAUCAUCAUUGAACCAAUAGUCAGAACUAUUGGUUAGUUCUUGGACAAGAUAUUUGGUGCUGAGAGAAAUGUGUUGAUCUAUAACCUAAGAGAUGGUACUUUUGAUGUGUCUAACCUCCAUUAACAAAUAGAAAAUCUUUGCAUGUAAGUGUGCAGCCAUGGACACUUACUUGGUUAGAGAAGACUUUAAGUCUCAGACUCAUGGCAUCAUCCUAGAGGGUGCAUCUACCUGCAUCUCUAAGCUUUAGAAACUCAGAAAUUCCUAUAGGAAUUUUUUAACAGAAAGGAACUGGAAAAAAAAAAAAGCAUAGGCCCUGAUAAGGGAAUCAGUUGUGUUUGUGGAUAUCCAGGAAGCCACUUAUCCCUUGUGCAGAGAUUUGAAAAUAUUUAGGAUUUGCUGCUUUUUAAUUUUACUCCUUUUCCUUUGGUGGAAAUCAUGACUAGUGGAAUCAUGACUAUUCUGACCAAGUGCGUUUAAUAAAACCACUGAACAGACUCAGACCUUCACUAACUAUCUACUCUGACAACCAGGGUUUGCUCAUUAAGGUUUACAAAAUUGAGUGAGCAAUGAUGAAGGAUAACAACCAGCCCGGCAAAUUUGAACUCACGGGCAUUCCUCCUAAACCCUUUGGAUUUCCACAAAUUUAAAUAACUUUUUAUAUUGAUGCCAACAGCAUCUCAAAUGUGUUUGCUGUUGAUAAGAGAUCAGGAAAAAAGAAGAUUAAAAGACAAAUGACCCAGUGUUUGCCCAUGGAAACACUGAGUAUUUGGUCCAAGAGGCAUAGAAGUACAAAGCUGGAAAACGAGAAACAAAGAGACAGAGUUUCUUGUAAGAAGUUGCUCAGAUCCUAUGUAUUCAAUAGGCCACAGUGAAAAAUGAGAGACGGCAAAGCAGAAUCAAAGAUGAAGUCAAACACAAGACUCCUGACAAGUGCAAUGGAGUCAUCAAUGACUGGUCAAGAAUCUCAUUACUGAGAAGGAAGAAUUUAACAUCAGCCAAAAGAGCUGGAGAGGGUAAAAACCCUGCCGUUAUCACAGUGUAACAGAGCUAGCACCAUGCUAGGUGCUUUGCUAGGGACUUCCCUAGAAGUGGUUGCCCAUCCUCUAGAGGUGUGUCUUCUG
RNAcentral lists this long non-coding RNA (1517 nucleotides) under Homo sapiens (human). Its description in RNAcentral is "non-protein coding lnc-UBA5-2:1". The record is from RNAcentral. Lineage: Eukaryota; Metazoa; Chordata; Mammalia; Primates; Hominidae.